RNAcentral lists this long non-coding RNA (1176 nucleotides) under Capra hircus (goat). RNAcentral describes it as "lncRNA (ENSCHIG00010020921.1)". Lineage: Eukaryota; Metazoa; Chordata; Mammalia; Artiodactyla; Bovidae. The record is from RNAcentral.
AUAUAUAUAUAUAUAUAUGCGUAUUCACUCUUUCAGAAUCUGAUCCAGUGGUUAUUCAAUUUUACCUUGCUUAAGGAGAACUGACUUCAGGAUUGUAUACAUAAUACCUUAUUUAAUGUUAAGUCUUUUUCCGAGAUAAUUUUUUGACUACACACAAUUUGCUUCUUGCACGUUAGCCUUAGAACAUCCCCACCCAUACUUUGGAUGGAGGGAAAAAAAAAAAAAACACCACCUCAUGGCAAUAGACUGCUGGGGGGCUUAAACAUAACAAAACAGUCAUAGAAAAUCAGCAAGGGAAAAAAUGAGAUGAAACUACAAAUUUCUCUGCCGGCCCCCUACCAUGAAUCCUCAAAUCCAUAGGAAAGGGAGUUAAGGAAAACAAAGAAAAUGUCCCAAGGGCCCAAGAUGUCUGAUGCUGGGAGCGGGGCUGCCCUUGCAACCCUUUCGCUAAAACAGUUCUGGCUUCUCCUUCCCGAGUGUCCUCCUUCUCCAGGCCGGGUCCCCACUCCCGACCCUUUCCCUGCACACUCUGGGCUCCAAAUGAGUAAUUCUGAGGUCACACUCUCCGGACAAAUGGCCGGGGCUCGCCAAGAGAAGCGCCCCCACCCAACUCGGCCGCCUGCCCCUGAAUCCCGGGAAUCCGAGUGGACUCAGCGUGACGAUCCCCGGCAGGGACCCCCGGGGCGUGCAGCUUGCAGCGGGGCUCGAGCCGGGCGGGGGGGCGGGCCGACUUCAAAGGCGGGCGGCGGGGCAGGCACUUCCGCGGCACCUGCAGCGGCGGCCGGUCCUCCUUCCGCGCGCCCGGGAUCCGCCCCCGCCAGGAGCGCCGCUUCCCCCCGCCCCGCCGCCGGGAGGCGGGGCCGCGCCCGUGAUUUAGGGCCGGGCGAUUCCGCUGGCGGCCGCCAAGGUGCCAAUUACUGCUCGGCCGGGCCUGGAUUUCAGAAAUUCCUGCUCUUCCCCUGGAAGUUCCGGCGUCGCUCCCCUGAGGGAAGACACAACUCCCACCUUGGAGAGAAAACCGGGAUCCUGGGACGGGCUGUGCGGAGAAACCGAGCCCAGGGGGGUCCCGGGAGCCCCGUCAUCCCCGGGGAGCUGGGCUCUAGAAAGGCCGGCAGCCUCCCUUCUCUCCCAGGCCGGGUCCCUCAGCGGUUCAACUUAGAGAUGAACUUGGCUUGA